UUCUUCGUCCAAGAAGAUACGUACGCAUAGGAUGCGACAUCCUAGCGAGCAUGUGUCGUUUCCACGGUCGAACUACUUUGACUCUGAUGUCUAUGCCUGAUAGACUAAGUAGGCCCAGGAUGCGAUAUCCUGCCGAGUCAGUCUUGUUUGUUUUCUUGCGUCUCUUUCAGCCGGUAUUUGUGUGUUUAUGAGCAGUGUUUUAGCAACCAUUUUCCUUCCUUUUGUGCGUGGAUCCCGUCGAGUACGACGGAUGCGUAGGGGUG
Molecule: long non-coding RNA, 263 nt
Filed under: Lathyrus oleraceus (garden pea)
Lineage: Eukaryota; Viridiplantae; Streptophyta; Magnoliopsida; Fabales; Fabaceae
Description: Pisum sativum (pea) long non-coding RNA (PSAT_LNC025255)
Source: RNAcentral